Molecule: ribosomal RNA, 2802 nt
Filed under: human gut metagenome
Description: eukaryotic LSU rRNA
Rfam family: Eukaryotic large subunit ribosomal RNA (bases 301-2802)
Source: RNAcentral
AAAAGUAAAACAACUCUAUACGAUGGAUAUCUUGGCUCUUGAAUCGAUGAAGAACGCAGCGAAAUGCGAUAAGUAAUGCGAAUUGCAGAACUCUGUGAGUCAUCAAAUCUUUGAACGCAUAUUGCACUUCCUUUUGGGAGUAUACUUGUUUGAGUGUAGUUAAAGGUUUCUAUCUAUAAUAGAUGAAUAUUGGAGUUAGUAUACUAUACUUUCUCUAAAAUGAAUAUAUUCGUAUAUAAGAAUAGUAUUUGAGGUAGUUGCCACAAGUACUAUAUUAUAUAAGAAUAUAUUUAAUAAGAUCUAUCUCAAAUCAAGUAAGAUUACCUGCUGAAUUGAAGCAUCUAAGUAAGCAGAGGAAAAGAAAAUAACAAUGAUUCUCUUAGUAACGGCGAGUGAAUAGGGAAUAGCCCAAGCUUAAAUCAGCUUUGCUGAGUUGUAGUGUGUAGAAUCUAACUUUUGUUCAGUGUUAAUAUCAUAUAAUUUGGUUGGAAAACCAAGUAAUAGAAGGUGAUAACCCUGUAAUAUGAUAUGACUGAAUGUUGGAUUCUUGGAGUCGAGUUGUUUGGGAAUGCAACUCGAAGUGGGUGGUGAACUCCAUCUAAGGCUAAAUAUGUUCAAGAGACCGAUAGUGAACAAGUACCGUGAGGGAAAGAUGAAAAGAACUUUGAGAAAAGAGUGAAAUAGUACUUGAAAUCGUAUAGAGGUUAAGCAGAGUUGGUGGAUAUUGUAUUUGAAUGUACUAUAAUCAAUUGAUUAUGGCUUAUUCUUAUACAUAGUAUAAUUUGUGUGUGAAUUGGUUAAUAUUAAAACGAAUAUGCGCAUAAAUGAUAUAAAUCCUACAUCUCUGUCCCGUCUUGAAACACGGACCAAGGAGUCUAUCCUGUAUGCAAGUUGUAUGGUGUAAAACCAAUAAGCGUAAUGAAAGUAAGAGGUGUGAAAGUUGUAAAAGUGUCAACACCUGCCGAUCUAAAUUCUUUGAUGAAAGAUUCGAGUAUGAGCAUAUAGGGUGGGACCCGAAAGAUGGUGAACUAUGCCUGAAUAGGACGAAGCCAGGGGAAACUCUGGUGGAGGUUCGAGUGGAUUCUAACGUGCAAAUUGAUCUUUAAAUUUGGGUAUAGGGGCGAAAGACUAAUCGAACCAUCUAGUAGCUGGUUCAUUCCGAAAUUUCCCUCAGGAUAGCUGCAACUUAUGAAAUAGUUUUAUGAGGUAAAGCGAAUGAUUAGAGGUUUCUGGGAUGGAAUAUCCUGGACCUAUUCUCAAACUUUCAAUGGGUAAGAAAAGUGUGAUGUUUAAUUAAUCAUACUAUUUGAAUAUGAGUUGCAAGUGGGCCAUUCCGGGUAAGCUGGACUGGCAAUGCGGGAUCAACCGAACGCUAUGUUACGGCGCCAGAUUGUUCGCUCAGUUGGAUGUAAAAGGUGUUAGUUCAUCUAGACAGCAGGACGGUGGCCAUGGAAGUCGGAAUCCGCUAAGGAGUGUGUAACAACUCACCUGCCGAAUGAAGUAGCCCUGAAAAUGGAUGGCGCUUAAGCGAACAGCCUAUACAUAGCCAUUAUUGUUAGGAUUAUACAAUAAUGAGUAGGAAUGCGUGAUGAAUGUUGUGAAGUAUGAUGUGUGAACAUGUAUGGAACAUUCAUUAGUGCAGAUCUUGGUGGAAGUAGCAAAUAUUCAAAUGAGAUCUUUGAAGACUGAAGUGGAGAAAGGUUCCAUAGGAAUAGUGAUUAUCUAUGGGUUAGUCGAUCCUAAGAGAUAGGUGAAAUCCAUUGAAAAGUCAAUUUCGAUUGACAUUUAUCGAAAGGGAAUCAGGUUAAUAUUCCUGAACCAAAGAGAAGGGUAAACGGUAACGUAUAGGGGUCUCAAGACAUUGAUGUUAUUCCCAGGAAGAGUUUUCUUUUCUUGUUAACAAAUGGGCAGUGCUUGGAAUCGAUUCAGUCGGCGAUAAGCAUUGUUAUUUGGUAAAGUACUACUAUUUUGUGUAGUAUCUGGUGCAAUGACAUGAAUCCUUGAAAAUUGAGACUUUUGUUUUCCCGAAGCUUUGGUCGUACUAAUAACCGCAUCAGGUCUCCAAGGUGAAUAGCCUCUAGUUAAUAGAAUAAUGUAGAUAAGGGAAGUCGGCAAAUUAGAUCCGUAACUUCGGGAUAAGGAUUGGCUCUGAGGGCUAAGUGGGUUUAAGGUGUUAAUAGUAUAAGUUUGAUAUGGGAUUGAGUGUUUUGAGUUGCUUCGGUGAUUUGAAAUAUUUGGUUCUAAUGUCUUAGUUGUCUAUUUUCAUCUACCACUAUGAAUAGCUAACUCAGAACUGGUACGGACAAGGGGAAUCCGACUGUUUAAUUAAAACAAAGCAUUGUGAUGGUGUGAAAGAUAUGUUGACACAAUGUGAAUUCUGCCCAGUGCUCUGAAUGUGAAAGUGGCGUAAUUCAAGCAAGCGCGGGUAAACGGCGGGAGUAACUAUGACUCUCUUAAGGUAGCCAAAUGCCUCGUCAUCUAAUUAGUGACGCGCAUGAAUGGAUUAAUGAGAUUCCCACUGUCCCUAUCUACUAUCUAGCGAAACCACAGCCAAGGGAACGGGCUUGGAAAUAUCAGCGGGGAAAGAAGACCCUGUUGAGCUUGACUCUAGUUUAACAUUGUGAAAUGACUUUAGAGGUGUAGCAUAGGUGGGAGGAGGUAACUCCGAUCCUGAAAUACCACUACUCUGAAUGUUGUUUUACUUAUUCCAUGAAAGAGGAUACUUACUUAAUUGUAAGUGUUAUGAUGUAAACUUUGGUGACCUCUUUGGGAGACAUUGUUAGGUGGGGAGUUCGGCUGGGG